Molecule: ribosomal RNA, 292 nt
Filed under: uncultured bacterium
Lineage: Bacteria
Description: partial 16S ribosomal RNA
Rfam family: Bacterial small subunit ribosomal RNA
Source: RNAcentral
GUGCCAGCCGCCGCGGUAACACGUAGGGGACGAGCGUUGUCCGGAUUCAUUGGGCGUAAAGCGCGCGUAGGCGGUCGUGCAAGUCGGUUGUGAAAUCCCGGGGCUCAACCCCGGGACUGCGUCCGAUACUGUGCGACUGGAGGCAGGUAGGGGAGAUCGGAAUUCCUGGUGUAGCGGUGAAAUGCGCAGAUAUCAGGAGGAACACCGGUGGCGAAGGCGGAUCUCUGGGCCUUGCCUGACGCUGAGGCGCGAAAGCUAGGGGAGCGAACAGGAUUAGAAACCCCCGUAGUCC